GAGUGGUGUUUGGUUUGUUACGGGUGGUUGGCUCUUUGCUUGCGCAACAACUUCCACCUGGCUUACCUCUUCAGUUUUGCAUCAAUGCCUGUAUUGCAUUGAAUCCAAAGUGGGUUUCUUGUGUUGCAUACCAAAUUGAUGGUAUCGUUUGAUGAAUUGAUGUCCCUUUUUCGUCUUGCGUCGCACAUGCGAUGUGAGAUGAACCUUGAAGCACUCUUUGUGAUCCACUCUUUUGAUGCACAUGCGUUGAUGGUGUGGCUCAUUAAGUGUUGCUUGGUCUCAUGGAUAUUGAAGUUKGUGUGGGCAUGGGAUCUUAGUGUUCUUACUAGUUCCUUGUUUGCCUUGCUUUAGCUUCUCCAAUACGAUUUGACUAUCACGUAUGGCACGUCUCAGCGUGGUAGUCUAAUUCGAAGAUGAAUG
This 420-nucleotide unclassified non-coding RNA is filed under the name Myrovernix scaber. Its description in RNAcentral is "Elytropappus scaber partial external transcribed spacer". Lineage: Eukaryota; Viridiplantae; Streptophyta; Magnoliopsida; Asterales; Asteraceae. The record is from RNAcentral.